UACGUAGGGUCCGAGCGUUGUCCGGAAUUAUUGGGCGUAAAGAGCUCGUAGGCGGUCUGUCGCGUCUGCUGUGAAAACCUAGGGCUUAACUCUGGGCGUGCAGUGGGUACGGGCAGGCUAGAGUGCGGUAGGGGAGACUGGAAUUCCUGGUGUAGCGGUGAAAUGCGCAGAUAUCAGGAGGAACACCGGUGGCGAAGGCGGGUCUCUGGGCCGUAACUGACGCUGAGGAGCGAAAGCAUGGGGAGCGAACAGG
Molecule: ribosomal RNA, 253 nt
Filed under: uncultured bacterium
Lineage: Bacteria
Description: partial 16S ribosomal RNA
Rfam family: Bacterial small subunit ribosomal RNA
Source: RNAcentral